CAGUCGCCGCGGGAAUACGGAGGGGGCUAGCGCUGUUCGGAAUUACUGGGCGUAAAGCGCACGUAGGCGGCUUGGUAAGUUAGAGGUGAAAGCCUGGAGCUCAACUCCAGAAUUGCCUUUAAGACUGCCGAGCUAGCAGGUGAGAGAGGUAAGUGGAAUUCCGAGUGUAGAGGUGAAAUUCGUAGAUAUUCGGAAGAACACCAGUGGCGAAGGCGGCUUACUGGCUCAUACUGGACGCUGAGGUGCGAAAGCGUGGGGAGCAAACGGGAUUAGAUACCCCGGUAGUCCCUGUCUCUUAUAC
This 301-nucleotide ribosomal RNA is filed under the name uncultured bacterium. Its description in RNAcentral is "partial 16S ribosomal RNA". It matches the Rfam family "Bacterial small subunit ribosomal RNA", at positions 509 to 807 of the family's 1533-position model. The record is from RNAcentral.